This 242-nucleotide ribosomal RNA is filed under the name uncultured bacterium. Its description in RNAcentral is "partial 16S ribosomal RNA". It matches the Rfam family "Bacterial small subunit ribosomal RNA", at positions 57 to 305 of the family's 1533-position model. The record is from RNAcentral.
GCAUGUCGAACGAAGCACUUGUGCUUAGUGGCGAAUGGGUGAGUAACACGUACUUAAUCUGCCCUCAAGUCAGGGACAACAGUCUGAAACGGCAGCUAAUACCGGAUAUGUACUACUACCGCAAGGUAGUUUUAUAAAAGGAGCGUUUGCUUCGCUGGAGGAUGAGAGUGCGUCGUAUUAGCUAGUUGGUAGGGUAAAGGCCUACCAAGGCGAUGAUACGUAGCGGGGUCGAGAGGCUGAAC